Molecule: ribosomal RNA, 324 nt
Filed under: Triticum aestivum (bread wheat)
Lineage: Eukaryota; Viridiplantae; Streptophyta; Magnoliopsida; Poales; Poaceae
Description: partial small subunit ribosomal RNA
Source: RNAcentral
AUGGUCCCCGGGUCCAUUCUCUAUAUAUUUACAAGUUCCUACAAUAGCUAUCAAUUUACUAUUAUUAUUCUAGUUAUUGUCAUCCUUUGCUAUUUUUACUAUUAUUUGACCUUGUGGCUAGCAAGAACAAGGGGAGUGAUGGCCCCCUUGACUUUGUUGGGUGCAAGCAAAAAAAAAAAUUGUGCAGGUGUUGAUAACGUUUCUACGUGUGUUGCCUCCUACUGGUUUGUUAAACCUUGGUUCAUAAGUGAGGGAAAUACUUUUUGCUGUUGUGCUGCAUUGCCCUUCCUCUUCGGGAAAAUCCAACAACUCCUGCGGGAGUAG